GAGUUCCCUCUUGGGAGGCUCCGGCUCGGGCGGCGGUGGGGGUGCUGCCGGGCGUAAGGACACCGGUCGGAGGGAUGUGAUGGAGGUAAGAGGAGGAAGGACGAAUGGAGAAGGAGGCAUGGGACGGGACAAGACUGGUGAUAAGGCAGGUGGGAGAGGAGGAGGAGGCGGAGGGACUGGAUGUGGAGGAACAGGUGAUGAUGACGAUGAGAAUGGCUGGGAUACAGCACAUGAUGAUGAUGACGGCCAGGGCCAGCAGGGCUCCUUCGGUGUAUCCAACAGACUGAACCGCCUUCUUUACGCUCUCCACCACAUCCGGUGUGCGGAUCUCCAGAAUGCGUCCUCCGCGACCUAGGCUGAACGGGAGCUGUUUUGAACACAGAGGUGCGCUGAGGACAAAUACAAAGCAAUGGCUGAAAUGAGCUGUGUAAGACAGUGUUGCUUCAAAGCUGGUGUCCUUGUCUCGCAGUAGGUGCCUUUAUUACCCCUCAGCUCACAUCUCAGAGCAGCCAGCCCUCCUCAGCCAAUUACCUGCAGUGACUCCGAUAUCCCCCCUUCACAGCUGCCGAGGGGAAAUAAGAACACGGGACACAAAAGAACAGAGGCUGGAAUGAUGACUCUAAAGGAACAAGGAACAGGUUUUCCGAGGAAACAACCUGACAAGAGAUGAUGAGGAGGUUUGGGAAAACUCAGGCUGUGAGUUAUAUCACCUGAGGCAGAAAAUGUGUGUUAGUGUCUGUGUAUAUACUAGGAAUAUUAAGAUGUGUUUAUGUCUCCGUAUUAGCACUGUACAAUCUCAGCACUUUCCUGUCUAUGUGAAAAUGAAUACUCGCAUCUUUGUGUCGUUCCAGAACCAAAAGAAUUUCCAGUUACACUUGAGUAC
Long non-coding RNA from Rhinichthys klamathensis goyatoka, 883 nucleotides. RefSeq lists it as uncharacterized. The record is from RefSeq and is a predicted model, not a curated record. The transcript has 3 exons. NCBI's taxonomy places the organism in Eukaryota, Metazoa, Chordata, Actinopteri, Cypriniformes, Leuciscidae.